ACUCAUUCCCCUUUCUUCCCCCUCCCGUCAUUUGUUUCCUUGUGCGUGCGCACUGCACCUUCCGUUCUCGUUCUAAUAUCAAGUAAAAUGCUACAGCGCCGUGACUCACAUUUGCGAAUAAACCUGAGGACCAUAAUUCAAGUCGCACGUAACGUCGAAAGAAUCAUCUGCAAAAAAAUGGGUGCAACACGAGGACUUC
Molecule: long non-coding RNA, 199 nt
Filed under: Carica papaya (papaya)
Lineage: Eukaryota; Viridiplantae; Streptophyta; Magnoliopsida; Brassicales; Caricaceae
Description: long non-coding RNA (CPAP_LNC014518)
Source: RNAcentral